RNAcentral lists this ribosomal RNA (111 nucleotides) under Triticum aestivum (bread wheat). Its description in RNAcentral is "partial small subunit ribosomal RNA". Lineage: Eukaryota; Viridiplantae; Streptophyta; Magnoliopsida; Poales; Poaceae. The record is from RNAcentral.
AACAUUAGCACCGAGUGCUUCCCGUCCAGGGGACCGUGGUUCUGCACCUCGACCACCGCCGGGAACUUGAGCUGCUCGCACCCGUCGGCUCCGAUCUCCUCGACCACGUAG